Molecule: ribosomal RNA, 228 nt
Filed under: uncultured bacterium
Lineage: Bacteria
Description: partial 16S ribosomal RNA
Rfam family: Bacterial small subunit ribosomal RNA
Source: RNAcentral
UCCGUAGGCGGGCGAUUAAGUCAGAGGUGAAAUCCCACAGCUCAACUGUGGAACUGCCUUUGAUACUGGUUGUCUUGAGUUACAGUGAAGUAGAUAGAAUAUGUAGUGUAGCGGUGAAAUGCAUAGAUAUUACAUAGAAUACCGAUUGCGAAGGCAGUCUACUAACUGUAUACUGACGCUGAUGGACGAAAGCGUGGGGAGCGAACAGGAUUAGAUACCCUGGUAGUC